UUUAAUUGAAGAGUUUGAUCAUGGCUCAGAUUGAACGCUGGCGGCAGGCCUAACACAUGCAAGUCGAGCGGUAACAGGGGAAGCUUGCUUCUCGCUGA
This 98-nucleotide ribosomal RNA is filed under the name Providencia rettgeri. Its description in RNAcentral is "partial 16S ribosomal RNA". It matches the Rfam family "Bacterial small subunit ribosomal RNA", at positions 1 to 91 of the family's 1533-position model. The record is from RNAcentral. Lineage: Bacteria; Pseudomonadati; Pseudomonadota; Gammaproteobacteria; Enterobacterales; Morganellaceae.